GUGUGUGUGUGUGUGUGUGUGUGUGCGCGUCUCUGGUUGUCAGCUGUGGGUUUAGUCUGAUGGCAAUUCUUCCCGUUGUUUUAUAACCUAAAACAACAAAAUAAACACAUUCAUUAGUGUUAUGAUUGAUUUAAUAUGUCUAGGACUACCAUUUGUCCAUUGAAAAAAGAUUUGUAACUUUGUUGUUGACAAUUUGGAUUCAGACCAAGCGGUCCGAAAUUUAGCGCACAUAUGAAGAUAGGCCGUCCCAAAUGAGCUUUUUUGCUCAUAUAGGUGUCUCAGUGUGUAUUUUUACCAUAUGGAAAUUCAAUAUUUAAGUUCAAUAUCUGUCAAUAUUACAUACGUUUAAUCAGUUUAGCUUUACAUGCUAAUGUUAGCUUCGAAAGUGUUCACAGCCUAACGAGCAGCUGUACACGACAGACAACUUCAGCAAACGUUUAAAAAGGUAAACUUUUCAUAAAAUGUAAGCAUUACGAGAUACACAUUGGUUACAGUAGCUAAUGUCCACAAAUAUAAAAGUAUAAAUACCUUUUCGACCGAUGAAAGCUAAAACUCAAGGCCGUGUCUGAGGAAAUCACCUGGAGAACCGUUAACGCAGCUGAGCGUUGCCAUAGAUAUAUGCUGCACGUGCCCUAAAGUGACGUCAUUUGAUCGACACUUGCUUGUGGCCUGUCUCCCAAUGCGGCUAUAUUACACAAUUUCUUUUUCUUUUUUUGGAGCUGCACGUGGUAUAGCAGUCUUAAAUGCAAUAACUAAAAUAAUAAUUUUCCUAAAUAACUUUUCUUGUCGGCUUACCAACAGUUUAAUAUAUAAAUGGAAAUAAUUAAUUUAUUUAUCUUACCUGUGUUAUUUUCCUCUUUCUUUUCUUCAUGUUUUCCUUGGCUGCAUUCAUCACUCUAUAACAUUCUUUAAGGGCUCCUGCAACCUUAUUUUCUUCAUGUAUGGGGAAUGCAUAAACCUAAUUGUAGCCUAUUAUAUUAUUGAAGGGUAUCAUGAUUUUGAUGUUUAAAUGCUGAAAACAGACUCCUGAUUUGAUGACAUUUUUAAUUACAGAAGUUACUCCUAUUUUCUUUUUCAAGAAAUGAAAAUUAUUAAUUUAACAUUAACUUCAGUUUACAAUGAUUUCAAAUAAUACUAUAGUAAAUAAUGAAGUGUCGCGCCCCGCAGUUCGAAGAAUGAAACAAAGACUUGGAGUUUUGAUGCCAGAAAAAUUUGAUUUUAUUCGGCCGAAACAAAACCGAAGCUCUCUCUUCAGAAAAGCUUCUCGACUGUCCUUUGUCUUUGGUUUAUAUACAAGCCAUUUAAGGCGGAUUCUAAUGUUAAGUCAUAUGCAUACAUUUCACUUGUGUAUGUAAUUCUAUCUGUCCCAGAGGAGAAGAGACCCUCUAGAAUUUGUUAUGGUAAGGGGGAGAAAGCCCCCUCCUCAUUUCUUCCAGAUGUGCUUUGCCACGUACACAUUUGGACACAAAGGCCUUCAGAAUAUAUUGGCAGAUUCACUAGAUACUUUAUAGGCAAAAUUUACCUUGAUUAUGUCUAAGUAAUUCUGAUUAAUAUCAAUAAAAAUCCUCUACAAUAAUAAUAAUAUCAAUCUGCAAAACAAAAAAAAGUUGUUUUUGCAUUUUGCAUUCUACACUGUUAGACAUUUCUGUAAUUUCCACAGUUAUUUACUGUGUAUCACCCAGUAUAAUACUGCAAAUUCCCUUUACAGUAAAUAACUAAUACCCUUUGCAUCAUGGGAAUUUUCUGUGACGUCAGACCCUACAUACAGAGACUUACUGUAUUUUUUUUAAAUUGCUGUAUACUACUGUAACGGUCUCUUUGGCGCCAUUAUACUGAGGUCGUUUUUUUCCCCUCAUUUCUUACAUUUGGAUUGACACAAUUUGACCUGCACCGUGUCUAUAACGCCGCAGCAGCUUGGGACUGACUACUGGAUGUGUUACAUCGCUUCUAAUGAUUGGAAAAUCCAUUUGUAGCCUACUUCGUGUCAGAAACAGCGCGAGCGCUUGGAGUACAUCUGUACAUCAGAAAUAUACCGGGGCAUCACAUUACUGUCCGCAUCCACUGUAGAUAAUAUAUAUAAUGGGUUCUAUGUUGUUUUUUUAUCGAGUCGCGCCUCGCCGCGCCGCGCCACUCGCGUCCGAGAAAGACACGGAAGCAUCGGGCAGCGCUGCGGGUUUUUCCCGGGGAUGAACACGCGAGAGUGGGAGAGCUCCGGAGAACAUCUACGCUGUGUGUCGAUGCACUUUACGAGAGAAAAAGACCAGCAAGCAAGGCAACUGCAAUGAAGCAUCAAGAAAGACAUGAGCAGGCCAGCCACCCUGAGACUGAUAAUUCAUGAGAAGACAUUUCUGUCAAAGUGUAUGGUGAGCAAAGAUGGUGGUGAUUUGGAGCAGCACCUGGGUUUUGCAGGCCGUUAUGUAUUCUUUGGCUGUUUGUCUUUUUUCCCCAUUAUGUUUCUGUUGCCUAAAGAUUCUUUGUGAGGAUAAAUCACAACAAAAUGCACUGCAAAACGUCCUAAGACAGGAGAAAUGGUGAAGAUGCACUGUUCCAGCAUUGGAAGAGCGUAUUUUUA
Molecule: long non-coding RNA, 2572 nt
Organism: Onychostoma macrolepis
Lineage: Eukaryota; Metazoa; Chordata; Actinopteri; Cypriniformes; Cyprinidae
Exons: 3
Source: RefSeq, a predicted model, not a curated record